AACUCAUAAUUAGAUUCUUCAGUGUGUGACUCAGCUUUGAAAUGGAAUGUACUAACCUCGGGCACCUUUUUUAUCUCUACCAAGUCCAGAUGCCUGACUGUCUAUCAACUUUCCGAGUCUUUUUACCUUUUCGCUCACCAAAACACUGGCACUUCAAGAUGGAUGCAGGCUCUUUCUCUGAGUGUACUGGCAUGAUUCUCAGCUAAGUCGGCUGCAUAAAUUCAGUGCCAAGAGGAAUUUUUUGAGGCAACAUUUACAGUGGCAGCUGAACAGCACAAACUCGGAAGCUGCAUGCAUUAAAGGAAACCCUGCUGAUGUAAGUACUUCAUUGCUGUAAUGCUGAGAAAACCACUCAGGCAGGUGUGCUCUUGCUGGGGAUAAGGGAGGCAGGCGGAAAUGGGCUUUAUACGCAAGCUCUAUCAAUUAUCGAAGGAAAAUUCUGUUCACCUGUGGUCUGUGUUCCCUAGUUUGUCUUCCAACAUUCUGUGUGUUAUGAGUGGCGGUUUGGUCACUCCACCAGGGAAAAUGUGAAGCCCUGAGGUGUUGAAAGCACAGCUUCUUAACCUCCUGACCCUCAGAUCCUCUGCAGAAUGGUCUUCCCAUACCUGGCAACUUAAUGGUACAUAACAUCGUGCUGGUUUUGAGUAGUAAAGGAGUGGAAAUAUGCCUUUGGAAAAGGGUUUAAGGCAAUUCCUUUGGGCCUGGCAGUUCUCUGUGGGAUAUAUUUAAAAAGGUAAAGGUAAAAGUUCCCUUGACAAUUUGUCCAGUCGUGUCCAACUCUAGGGGGCGGUGCUCAUCCCCGCUUCCAACCCAUAGAGCUAGUGUUUGACUGAAGACAAUUUCCGUGGUCACGUGACCAGUGCGACUAGACACGGAAUGCCGUGACCUUCCCACCAAGGUGGUCCCUAUUUAUCUACUCGCAUUUUUACAUGCUUUCGAAAUGCUAGGUUGGCGGGAGCUGGGACUAGCGACGGGAGCUCACUCCGUCACGUGGAUUUGAUCUUACAUCUGCUGGUCUUCUGACCUUGCAGCCCAGAGGCUUCAGAGGUUUAACCUGCAGCGUCACUACAUCCCUGUGUCACUUUUAUAAUGAAUUGUGUGC
RNAcentral lists this long non-coding RNA (1102 nucleotides) under Pogona vitticeps (central bearded dragon). Its description in RNAcentral is "lncRNA (ENSPVIG00000002798.1)". The record is from RNAcentral. Lineage: Eukaryota; Metazoa; Chordata; Lepidosauria; Squamata; Agamidae.